Molecule: long non-coding RNA, 1805 nt
Organism: Lutra lutra (Eurasian river otter)
Lineage: Eukaryota; Metazoa; Chordata; Mammalia; Carnivora; Mustelidae
Exons: 3
Source: RefSeq, a predicted model, not a curated record
AGCUGAGACCUACGAGAUAAGCCAGAGUGAUUCAGGCAAAGGGAACAAGAAGAGAGGGUUCUGGGUAGAGGGAACCCCACCAGCAAAGAACCAAGAUGCAAAGAGCUUGCAUAUGUUGCUUCCUACUAUGUGUCAGGCCCCAUGUGAGGUACUGGAGUGCAGAGCUGAAUAAGGCAGAGUCCAGCCCUCAGAGAGCCUACAGUCUGAAUGAAGGAGACGACCAAGGUCAUGAGCCCCCCUCAGCUGUGGUUCUUGGCACCUCUUCCACGAAGCUCCCAUUGCUGAUCUCACUGCCUAGUUACUCCAUGUCCCAGAGCGCCCAGAAUCCCGAUGUCCAACCAUACAAGUAUUCUUCAUCUGGUAUAUUUUCAAACACCUGUUGAGAGACCUCCAGAAUUAAGACUUGCGUUUUCAGACCACCCUUGGAAGAGUGAUGCCCUCCAGGCUCUGUGAGAAACUCUACACAUGGACACACUUUAUGGAAUCCUUUGGAAACUUUCUGCCAGUGUUCUUUCAAAUAUCUGAGGGGAUGCACAGAGGAGUGUCUUUGUAGAGGGGCCUGGUCUAUGGUGAUGCAGGCAGAUUUGGGGGGAUAGAUCCCAGUUCUCUCUAAGUGGCAUCAUGAUCCUUGCUGCGUGACCUGAAUGUGGACUUGACGUAGUCUGAAGGUAGUCUAAGGUUCUUAAACUUCUUUGUGCCAUGGAUCUCAUUAAUAGUCUAGUGAGGCCUAUGGAUCUCUUCUCAGAAUGUCUUAAUGUUUAAUGUCUUAGAUGCAGAAAAUAAAUCCACAAGAUUAUAAAGGAAAUCAAUUAUGCUCCAUACAAUUAUUAAAUGUGUGGUACAGGAAUGUCCCUUUAUUAACACAUUAAAAUAAUAUCUGGUGGUGAGCAAAAUAUGUACUAUAAUUCAAAGUAUUGAUGAGUGUAAAACUAUAUUUCAAGUUUUCUACAACUGUACUGUGAUUUGAAAAUACCCGUGAUUUCUGUUAUGAUCACCAUAGAUAUGUCUAAUCCUAUUGUCAUUUGUCGCUUAUGUUCAGGAACUGUUUAAUUUCAGCAAUUUUUUCCAUCGCCUGAGGUCCAGACAAAAUGUCUCCUAACUCAUUCAUUGAUUCAAUAAGUAUUUAUUAAGUACUUCUAUGUACCAGGCAUCAUUCCAGGAAAGGCAAAGUUUCUGCCCUUACUGAGUUUUCACUCUGGCUAUGAGUCAGAUAACAAAUAAAUUAAUUUGGGGUGCUCAGGUGUUGCAGUCCGUUGAGCUUCUGACUCUUGGUUUUGGUUCAAGUCAUGGUCUCAGGGUUUUAGAAUGGAGCCUCGUGCUUAGCACUGAAUCUGCUUGUCCCUUUCCCCACUCUCAGCUCUCUUGCACACUCUCCCUAAAAUAAAUAAAUCUUAAAAAAAAAAUCAAUAUCGUUGAUUCUCCGUAUUUGCAGCAGUUACAUUGUACAAAGUCACUGUGAACCAGGCUCCUACAGGAAAUACAGGGUUACGCUCUUUGAGUCUCUGGUCACAUUUUCAUCAACUGAUCAAAAUAUAACCUUCUUUUAUGUGUGUUUCUGUUUAAAGACACCUCAUGUAAUGUAUAUUGUUAAUUUGCUAACAUUGCCCUCAUGGCCAACAGCCCUGUAAACUAUAACUACAUGUAACAGUCCCUCAGAAUAAUACACUGCUUAAACUAUAACUUUAACUAAUGAGGAGUUGUACUGGUCACGCAAGCAUGCUUAAAGAUGACCUUGAGGAAAAACAUGUACUAGCAGCAUGCCUGUGGUGGAGGGGCUGAGACGUCGAAGCCAAACGGCUGAGAAC